GCGCUCUUGGGGUAAUUUUGGUCGGCCGGCCACUCCUGGGAAGGUUCACCACUGUUCCAUGUUUUUGCCAUUUGUGGAUAAUGGCUCUCACUGUGGUUCGCUGGAGUCCCAAAGCUUUAGAAAUGGCUUUAUAACCUUUACCAUACUGAUAGAUCUCAAUUACUUUUGUUCUCAUUUGUUCCUGAAUUUCUUUGGAUCUUGGCAUGAUGUCUAGCUUUUGAGGUGCUUUUGGUCUACUUCUCUGUGUCAGGCAGCUCCUAUUUAAGUGAUUUCUUGAUUGAAACAGGUGUGGCAGUAAUCAGGCCUGGGGGUGGCUACGGAAAUUGAACUCAGGUGUGAUACACCACAGUUAGGUUAUUUUUUAACAAGGGGGCAAUUACUUUUUCACACAGGGCCAUGUAGGUUUGGAUUUUUUUUCUCCCUAAAUAAUAAAAAACAUCAUUUAAAAACUG
Erpetoichthys calabaricus (reedfish) is the source of this 452-nucleotide long non-coding RNA. RefSeq lists it as uncharacterized. The record is from RefSeq and is a predicted model, not a curated record. NCBI's taxonomy places the organism in Eukaryota, Metazoa, Chordata, Cladistia, Polypteriformes, Polypteridae. The transcript has 2 exons.